UUUUCCUCCUUCCAUCCUUCCUUCGCCCGGCUGAGGCAACGUGGCGCCUCGGUCGUCGUCGAAGGGAGAGUUUCCGGGCGGGGGAAGGAAAAGAAAGCCGAAACCGGCCGACAUGAGGGAGGAAGAGGGAGGCGCUGAGCGAAAUUAAUUGUUGGCAGAAGUUGUGAAGAUGCAAAACUGGUUGCAAGCACCAACUGCAAAAACAGUUUAAGCCAAGUGUUACAAUAUCCUGCCUUUCUCCCGCAGCGGCUGCAUGGCUGGCCCUCUCUUUGAAAGCCUUCACGUUCUUCUCCACGCCCUUCACUGAGUAAUCCAGGUGUGUCAGGAGGACUAUUUUAAGAAAGGUUCAAUUUGUAUGUAUCCAACGUUUGAACAAAGAAAUGUGUACACUCUCC
Sceloporus undulatus (fence lizard) is the source of this 395-nucleotide long non-coding RNA. RefSeq lists it as uncharacterized. The transcript is spliced from 3 exons. The record is from RefSeq and is a predicted model, not a curated record. NCBI's taxonomy places the organism in Eukaryota, Metazoa, Chordata, Lepidosauria, Squamata, Phrynosomatidae.